This 402-nucleotide unclassified non-coding RNA is filed under the name Hevea brasiliensis (rubber tree). Lineage: Eukaryota; Viridiplantae; Streptophyta; Magnoliopsida; Malpighiales; Euphorbiaceae. The record is from RNAcentral.
ACAUUCUUCAAAAUUUCUUGGCCAGCUUUGUCAUCAGUGUCUUUAGACAACACAAUCUUUACAUCGUGGAUGACAGCAUCAUGAAGCUCGUCCCAACUUGCAGCCAUCAAGUCCUUGAAAACAUUUUGAAUUUCAGGAUCUUGUAUGACAGGCAUGCGAGCUACAUCCUGACUAAAAUAUCGUAUGCUUCCAAUGCCCAUUGUAAGAGAAGAUCUGAAAUCAGAAGGGUUGCGAUAGGAAGGUGCUCCAACGGAAGUGAAGAUGAAUCGAGAAGGCAAGUAGUGACGGGGCUGGUGGUGGGUAAAAGCGGCGAAACGGGAGGACCUGAAACAGGAUGCGCGCCAUGUGGAUCUCAGUAACACCAUCUUCCCCAUUUUUUGUUGGGAAGGAUAGGUGAACAGA